RNAcentral lists this ribosomal RNA (1451 nucleotides) under uncultured organism. RNAcentral's name for it is "SSU rRNA". It matches the Rfam family "Bacterial small subunit ribosomal RNA". The record is from RNAcentral.
GAUGAACGCUAGCUACAGGCUUAACACAUGCAAGUCGAGGGGCAUCAGGAAGAAAGCUUGCUUUCUUUGCUGGCGACCGGCGCACGGGUGAGUAACACGUAUCCAACCUGCCCUUUACUCGGGGAUAGCCUUUCGAAAGAAAGAUUAAUACCCGAUAGCAUAAUGAUUCCGCAUGGUUUCAUUAUUAAAGGAUUCCGGUAAAGGAUGGGGAUGCGUUCCAUUAGGUUGUUGGUGAGGUAACGGCCCACCAAGCCUUCGAUGGAUAGGGGUUCUGAGAGGAAGGUCCCCCACAUUGGAACUGAGACACGGUCCAAACUCCUACGGGAGGCAGCAGUGAGGAAUAUUGGUCAAUGGGCGCUAGCCUGAACCAGCCAAGUAGCGUGAAGGAUGAAGGCUCUAUGGGUCGUAAACUUCUUUUAUAUAAGAAUAAAGUGCAGUAUGUAUACUGUUUUGUAUGUAUUAUAUGAAUAAGGAUCGGCUAACUCCGUGCCAGCAGCCGCGGUAAUACGGAGGAUCCGAGCGUUAUCCGGAUUUAUUGGGUUUAAAGGGAGCGUAGGUGGACUGGUAAGUCAGUUGUGAAAGUUUGCGGCUCAACCGUAAAAUUGCAGUUGAUACUGUCAGUCUUGAGUACAGUAGAGGUGGGCGGAAUUCGUGGUGUAGCGGUGAAAUGCUUAGAUAUCACGAAGAACUCCGAUUGCGAAGGCAGCUCACUGGACUGCAACUGACACUGAUGCUCGAAAGUGUGGGUAUCAAACAGGAUUAGAUACCCUGGUAGUCCACACAGUAAACGAUGAAUACUCGCUGUUUGCGAUAUACAGUAAGCGGCCAAGCGAAAGCAUUAAGUAUUCCACCUGGGGAGUACGCCGGCAACGGUGAAACUCAAAGGAAUUGACGGGGGCCCGCACAAGCGGAGGAACAUGUGGUUUAAUUCGAUGAUACGCGAGGAACCUUACCCGGGCUUAAAUUGCAGUGGAAUGAUGUGGAAACAUGUCAGUGAGCAAUCACCGCUGUGAAGGUGCUGCAUGGUUGUCGUCAGCUCGUGCCGUGAGGUGUCGGCUUAAGUGCCAUAACGAGCGCAACCCUUAUCUUUAGUUACUAACAGGUUAUGCUGAGGACUCUAGAGAGACUGCCGUCGUAAGAUGUGAGGAAGGUGGGGAUGACGUCAAAUCAGCACGGCCCUUACGUCCGGGGCUACACACGUGUUACAAUGGGGGGUACAGAAGGCAGCUAGCGGGUGACCGUAUGCUAAUCCCAAAAUCCUCUCUCAGUUCGGAUCGAAGUCUGCAACCCGACUUCGUGAAGCUGGAUUCGCUAGUAAUCGCGCAUCAGCCACGGCGCGGUGAAUACGUUCCCGGGCCUUGUACACACCGCCCGUCAAGCCAUGGGAGCCGGGGGUACCUGAAGUACGUAACCGCAAGGAUCGUCCUAGGGUAAAACUGGUGACUGGGGCU